CGUAGUCGAUGGGAAACAGGUUAAUAUUCCUGUACUUGGUGUUACUGCGAAGGGGGGACGGAGAAGGCUAUGUUGGCCGGGCGACGGUUGUCCCGGUUUAAGCGUGUAGGCUGGUUUUCCAGGCAAAUCCGGAGAAUCAAGGCUGAGGCGUGAUGACGAGGCACUACGGUGCUGAAGCAACAAAUGCCCUGCUUCCAGGAAAAGCCUCUAAGCAUCAGGUAACAUCAAAUCGUACCCCAAACCGACACAGGUGGUCAGGUAGAGAAUACCAAGGCGCUUGAGAGAACUCGGGUGAAGGAACUAGGCAAAAUGGUGCCGUAACUUCGGGAGAAGGCACGCUGAUAUGUAGGUGAAGCGACUUGCUCGUGGAGCUGAAAUCAGUCGAAGAUACCAGCUGGCUGCAACUGUUUAUUAAAAACACAGCACUGUGCAAACACGAAAGUGGACGUAUACGGUGUGACGCCUGCCCGGUGCCGGAAGGUUAAUUGAUGGGGUCAGCGCAAGCGAAGCUCUUGAUCGAAGCCCCGGUAAACGGCGGCCGUAACUAUAACGGUCCUAAGGUAGCGAAAUUCCUUGUCGGGUAAGUUCCGACCUGCACGAAUGGCGUAAUGAUGGCCAGGCUGUCUCCACCCGAGACUCAGUGAAAUUGAACUCGCUGUGAAGAUGCAGUGUACCCGCGGCAAGACGGAAAGACCCCGUGAACCUUUACUAUAGCUUGACACUGAACACUGGUCCUUGAUGUGUAGGAUAGGUGGGAGGCUUUGAAGUGUGGACGCCAGUCUGCAUGGAGCCGUCCUUGAAAUACCACCCUUUAAUGGCUGGUGUUCUAACGUAGGCCCCUUACCGGGGUUGCGGACAGUGUCUGGUGGGUAGUUUGACUGGGGCGGUCUCCUCCUAAAGAGUAACGGAGGAGCACGAAGGUUGGCUAAUCCUGGUCGGACAUCAGGAGGUUAGUGCAAUGGCAUAAGCCAGCUUGACUGCGAGCGUGACGGCGCGAGCAGGUGCGAAAGCAGGUCAUAGUGAUCCGGUGGUUCUGAAUGGAAGGGCCAUCGCUCAACGGAUAAAAGGUACUCCGGGGAUAACAGGCUGAUACCGCCCAAGAGUUCAUAUCGACGGCGGUGUUUGGCACCUCGAUGUCGGCUCAUCACAUCCUGGGGCUGAAGUAGGUCCCAAGGGUAUGGCUGUUCGCCAUUUAAAGUGGUACGCGAGCUGGGUUUAGAACGUCGUGAGACAGUUCGGUCCCUAUCUGCCGUGGGCGCUGGAGAACUGAGGGGGGCUGCUCCUAGUACGAGAGGACCGGAGUGGACGCAUCACUGGUGUUCGGGUUGUCAUGCCAAUGGCACUGCCCGGUAGCUAAAUGCGGAAGAGAUAAGUGCUGAAAGCAUCUAAGCACGAAACUUGCCCCGAGAUGAGUUCUCCCUGAGACUUUAAGUCUCCUGAAGGAACGUUGAAGACGACGACGUUGAUAGGCCGGGUGUGUAAGCGCAGCGAUGCGUUGAGCUAACCGGUACUAAUGAACCGUGAGGCUUAACCUU
RNAcentral lists this ribosomal RNA (1535 nucleotides) under Escherichia albertii. Its description in RNAcentral is "partial 23S ribosomal RNA". It matches the Rfam family "Bacterial large subunit ribosomal RNA", at positions 1410 to 2925 of the family's 2925-position model. Lineage: Bacteria; Pseudomonadati; Pseudomonadota; Gammaproteobacteria; Enterobacterales; Enterobacteriaceae. The record is from RNAcentral.